GCCUCCGUGGUGUAGUUGGUUAUCACGUGAGUCUCAUAUUUACGUCCUUUCAACAAUAUGAUAGGUUAGCAUCCUAAACUACCUAGCGAUCUCAAGGUCGCCAGUUCGAUCCUGGCCGGGGGCA
Molecule: non-coding RNA, 124 nt
Organism: Onygenales sp. PD_10
Lineage: Eukaryota; Fungi; Ascomycota; Eurotiomycetes; Onygenales
Source: the annotation of a GenBank genome assembly